This 204-nucleotide long non-coding RNA is filed under the name Capsicum annuum. Its description in RNAcentral is "long non-coding RNA (CANN_LNC007942)". Lineage: Eukaryota; Viridiplantae; Streptophyta; Magnoliopsida; Solanales; Solanaceae. The record is from RNAcentral.
UGCAUCACAUCAUCAUUAUUUUCAUUACACUCCAUAUAUUGUUCUUGUGCUUUGAUUGUAUUUCUAUCUUGACUUGAUAUCUAUCCAUCUGUUCUAUUUUUCUAUACUUGUAUUUGAUGUACAUGUAUAUUGGUUCUUCUUCAUCUACAUGUAUUUAUUAUAAGUUUGUAUAUUAGAACUGCUAGUAAAGACGGUGUGGGCUAC